Molecule: ribosomal RNA, 2122 nt
Filed under: Klebsiella pneumoniae
Lineage: Bacteria; Pseudomonadati; Pseudomonadota; Gammaproteobacteria; Enterobacterales; Enterobacteriaceae
Description: partial 23S ribosomal RNA
Rfam family: Bacterial large subunit ribosomal RNA
Source: RNAcentral
GGGUUGUGAGGUUAAGCGACUAAGCGUACACGGUGGAUGCCCUGGCAGUCAGAGGCGAUGAAGGACGUGCUAAUCUGCGAAAAGCGUCGGUAAGGUGAUAUGAACCGUUAUAACCGGCGAUGUCCGAAUGGGGAAACCCAGUGCAAUUCGUUGCACUAUCGUUAACUGAAUACAUAGGUUAACGAGGCGAACCGGGGGAACUGAAACAUCUAAGUACCCCGAGGAAAAGAAAUCAACCGAGAUUCCCCCAGUAGCGGCGAGCGAACGGGGAGCAGCCCAGAGUCUGAAUCAGCUUGUGUGUUAGUGGAACGGUCUGGAAAGUCCGACGGUACAGGGUGAUAGUCCCGUACACCAAAAUGCACAGGCUGUGAACUCGAAGAGUAGGGCGGGACACGUGGUAUCCUGUCUGAAUAUGGGGGGACCAUCCUCCAAGGCUAAAUACUCCUGACUGACCGAUAGUGAACCAGUACCGUGAGGGAAAGGCGAAAAGAACCCCGGCGAGGGGAGUGAAAAAGAACCUGAAACCGUGUACGUACAAGCAGUGGGAGCACCUUCGGGUGUGACUGCGUACCUUUUGUAUAAUGGGUCAGCGACUUAUAUUCUGUAGCAAGGUUAACCGUAUAGGGGAGCCGCAGGGAAACCGAGUCUUAACUGGGCGUUAAGUUGCAGGGUAUAGACCCGAAACCCGGUGAUCUAGCCAUGGGCAGGUUGAAGGUUGGGUAACACUAACUGGAGGACCGAACCGACUAAUGUUGAAAAAUUAGCGGAUGACUUGUGGCUGGGGGUGAAAGGCCAAUCAAACCGGGAGAUAGCUGGUUCUCCCCGAAAGCUAUUUAGGUAGCGCCUCGUGAACUCAUCUUCGGGGGUAGAGCACUGUUUCGGCUAGGGGGUCAUCCCGACUUACCAACCCGAUGCAAACUACGAAUACCGAAGAAUGUUAUCACGGGAGACACACGGCGGGUGCUAACGUCCGUCGUGAAGAGGGAAACAACCCAGACCGCCAGCUAAGGUCCCAAAGUCAUGGUUAAGUGGGAAACGAUGUGGGAAGGCACAGACAGCCAGGAUGUUGGCUUAGAAGCAGCCAUCAUUUAAAGAAAGCGUAAUAGCUCACUGGUCGAGUCGGCCUGCGCGGAAGAUGUAACGGGGCUAAACCAUGCACCGAAGCUGCGGCAGCGACACUAUGUGUUGUUGGGUAGGGGAGCGUUCUGUAAGCCUGCGAAGGUGUGCUGUGAGGCAUGCUGGAGGUAUCAGAAGUGCGAAUGCUGACAUAAGUAACGAUAAAGCGGGUGAAAAGCCCGCUCGCCGGAAGACCAAGGGUUCCUGUCCAACGUUAAUCGGGGCAGGGUGAGUCGACCCCUAAGGCGAGGCCGAAAGGCGUAGUCGAUGGGAAACAGGUUAAUAUUCCUGUACUUGGUGUUACUGCGAAGGGGGGACGGAGAAGGCUAUGUUAGCCGGGCGACGGUUGUCCCGGUUUAAGCAUGUAGGCUGGUUAUCCAGGCAAAUCCGGAUAAUCAAGGCUGAGGUGUGAUGACGAGGCACUACGGUGCUGAAGUAACAAAUGCCCUGCUUCCAGGAAAAGCCUCUAAGCAUCAGGUAACAUCAAAUCGUACCCCAAACCGACACAGGUGGUCAGGUAGAGAAUACCAAGGCGCUUGAGAGAACUCGGGUGAAGGAACUAGGCAAAAUGGUGCCGUAACUUCGGGAGAAGGCACGCUGGUGUGUAGGUGAAGUCCCUGCGGAUGGAGCUGAGACCAGUCGAAGAUACCAGCUGGCUGCAACUGUUUAUUAAAAACACAGCACUGUGCAAACACGAAAGUGGACGUAUACGGUGUGACGCCUGCCCGGUGCCGGAAGGUUAAUUGAUGGGGUUAUCCGUAAGGAGAAGCUCUUGAUCGAAGCCCCGGUAAACGGCGGCCGUAACUAUAACGGUCCUAAGGUAGCGAAAUUCCUUGUCGGGUAAGUUCCGACCUGCACGAAUGGCGUAAUGAUGGCCAGGCUGUCUCCACCCGAGACUCAGUGAAAUUGAACUCGCUGUGAAGAUGCAGUGUACCCGCGGCAAGACGGAAAGACCCCGUGAACCUUUACUAUAGCUUGACACUGAACAUUGAGCCUUGAUGUGUAG